This 324-nucleotide ribosomal RNA is filed under the name uncultured eukaryote. RNAcentral describes it as "partial 18S ribosomal RNA". It matches the Rfam family "Eukaryotic small subunit ribosomal RNA", at positions 1470 to 1796 of the family's 1831-position model. The record is from RNAcentral.
CCCUUAGAUGUCCUGGGCUGCACGCGCGCUACACUGAUGUGUCCAGUAAGCACCUAACCUAUUCCGAGAGGAGCGGGUAACCUUAGCAAAGCACAUCGUGAUGGGGAUAGAUUAUUGCAAUUAUUAGUCUUGAACGAGGAAUUCCUAGUAAGCACAAGUCAUCAGCUUGUGUUGAUUACGUCCCUGCCCUUUGUACACACCGCCCGUCGCUCCUACCGAUUGAAUGUUCCGGUGAGCUCUUCGGACUGCGCGGUCUGCAGUUUCCGCGUUCCGUGCGGAAAGUUGUGCAAACCUUAACAUUUAGAGGAAGGAGAAGUCGUAACA